GGAAACACCUUGCUUGGGUGAAGUGUCA
Molecule: non-coding RNA, 28 nt
Filed under: Homo sapiens (human)
Lineage: Eukaryota; Metazoa; Chordata; Mammalia; Primates; Hominidae
Source: RNAcentral